CUUCCAAUUGCCAAACCAAAUCUGCUCCUGGGGGUUACAGAUAUUGAAGACAAUUUAAUACAGGAGAAGUUGCAAAUCUCCCCUUGGAUUUCUCGCUCCUUAAUUUAAAGCCUCCCAAAAUGAGCACUCCCAGGUUAAGGGUGGGAAAGGCUUUUCUCUGCUGAUCUGCUGCAGUGCCUGUCCCUUUUUAAACACCUCUGGAGAUAAGAAUCUUCCAGUUUAGACAUGAGGCACCCCAGUGCAUGGUUUGGGGUUAAACCAGCAUGUAAAGGGGUGGGAGGGGAUGUCCUUGCUACCCCCAAAAGAGCUGUAUCCCCCUGUCCUUCCACCUCUGCACCCCCAGUGGUUGCCACCAUUGUCCCUCUGGUCAGGGGAGACGCAUGAGCCAGUCUUGGAUGUCCCACGUGCUCCCUGAGGUACCUGGGGGAGUUUUCUCCUACAUCUUUUGGGGCAGUGCCUGUCCCAGCCAUGCUCCAUCCUCGCCUUUCAGCUAACAAGGAGCUGCCCAGGUUAUGAGCAGGGUUUGCAGCAACAACAGAAACGAAGCUCAAGACUUACUCUAGGAAAGUCCUUCCAGAAGGGUCACGGAGGAGGACUCAGGGAGGCUCUGGGAGGCAGCCACACUGUGCCCAGGGCACCCCGAGCAGCCUGGGCUGUGUCCCCAGCACUCCGUGCCCCUGCACCAGAGCAGCUCCGGGCCUUUGUGGCAGACACACCCCCGUGACCGCCCCCGAGCUUCACAGCUUCUGCUGCUGCCUCCCUCGCGCACCAACUCACCGGUUCUUAAAUAACACAAUUCCACGGGGCCAGAUCCGCACGCAGCAAGGAUGGAAGCUGUGCCACCAGCCCAGACCCCGUGUGAGAGACCCAUCAGCCCAGCUCCCGUUUGCCAUCAUUAAUCGCGCACGGAUGGGUGUGAGACUUUUACACAACCCUGACAGAAAUGAACCUCAGAGUCCCUUUUGUCCGUGUUUGGGAUUAUCCUCCUCCCUGUUACUGGAAGGAGUUAUUUAAGGG
This 1017-nucleotide long non-coding RNA is filed under the name Zonotrichia albicollis (white-throated sparrow). RNAcentral's name for it is "lncRNA (ENSZALG00000003125.1)". The record is from RNAcentral. Lineage: Eukaryota; Metazoa; Chordata; Aves; Passeriformes; Passerellidae.